UUUCUAAUGAUCAUGCUUUGUUCAUUUUUAUAUAUGCUAUUUAGAAUAUCUUUCUUUUGAAUUUUCUUGAAUUGUUAUCGAUUUUGAUAAGUUUUAUGCAUUUUAUUAUUGAGAUAUUUUGUCUUGUUCUAUAUUAUGGUUUAUAUUUCAACUUUCUUGUUUCAAAAGAGAAGAAGAAAAAGAGAGAAAAAAGGAAAAAGAAAAAAGAAAAGGAGUGAAGAAGUGCCUGAAAUAAGGCUGAAAUGAGGUUGAAGAUUUUGUAUGUUUUAAUCUCUUGAUAUAAUUAUUUUGUAGACUUGAUUUUGCUGAUCAUUGAGAAAAAUAUGAGAAGAGUGCUAGACACUGAACAGAUAAAAUUGAAAGAGGAAAAAAAAAAAAAAUCGUUCAAAUAAGUAGCUUUGAGCAAGGAUUUUGUUAAUGUUUCCACAGAAGUUGAAAGUGGGGUUUUUAGUUUGCAGACCCUCAAAAGCAAUUCUUACAGAUUUAAAGAUGGGAGCUCAGAUCAUUAUUGUGGCAGAGACCAGAUUGCUGACAAUGUCAAGGAAAGAUUUCUUAAUCAUUCAUUUACAUUUAAAGAAGAAAUAUUUUGAGUGGACAAUCCAAAGUCGCAAGAUUUUUCAAUCACGUUGUUAGGGCAUUCAGAAGUUUGCACAGUUCGUUUUCCAACACACAAAAUGUUAAAUGUAAAAGUGAGUUUCAGGGAAAAAACAAAAAAGAAGCCAGGAACCAGUGGAAGGAAUGACAGUAUUCACUGAUGGUUUGGGAAAAACUCACAAAUCAGUGGUCACAUGGAAAAAUCAAAAAACAGGGAAAUGGGAAUCAAAUAUCAAAAUGAUACAAGGUUCACCACAAGUUGCAAAAUUGGUAAUAAUAGUCAGGGGUUUUUCAGUUAUUUUAGGAACCCUCAAUCUGAUCACAAGUUUAGUGUAUGUUGCAAAUGUGGUCAAACAAUUAGAAAAAUCGCUUUUAAAACAUACAGACAAGGAAAUUUUAUACUUAUAUCUAUUAUGCAUGAAAAUAAUCCUAGAAAAAACAGAGAACAUUAAUAAACACAUCAGAGUGCAUUCUUCACCUCCGAGGUUUUUAGUAAAAGAGAAUGCUCAUGUAGAUAGGCUCACAAUGCCCAUCUUGCAGACACUGCCAAACAUUUUUGAGCAGGCAAAAUUGAGCCGUGCAUGUUUUCACAAAAAUGCACAGGCAUUGAUGGGAACCUUUCACCCUUCUGAAAGUCAGACAAAAGAAAUCUGCUUGCCAGAGUGCCAGUUUGUGCAGUCUCCUGUAUUUACAGGAAUGGACAAUCUGAGAGGUUUGUAAAAGCCUUCAGCUGUGGCAAGCUGAUGUCACAAAAUACCCAACUUUUGAGAGGCUCGAAAAUAUCCAUAUUUCAAUUGAUACAUUUUUAGGGGCGAUUUUUGCAUCAUAUACAGGGGAGACCACAGAACAUACCUGCAAACAUUUUUUAUAAGCAUUUACAUCAUUAGGAGUGCAACAAGAAAUAGAAACAAAUAAUGGUCCAAUUUACACAAGCAAGGUGCUUGACAAAUUUUUGAAAAAACAGAGAGUCAAACAUAUUUUCAAUAUUCUUCAUUCUCCCUCAGGUCAAGCAAGCAAAGAACACAUCACACCCUGAAAUCCACUUGGAUGGACAGAAAAGGGAUGAGGCAGGGUUGAACAAAUGUGUUGAAUUUUUUAAAUGGUUUUUUCUCAAAGCCCACAACAGCCCACAGGAAAAACUAAGGGAAAAUCCCUUCGAUUUGAUCAGAAGUCCGGAGUCAGGACAGAUUGAAGGUUCAUUUACAUUAAUAACUUGGGGCGAGGGUUUCGCUUGUGUUUCUACAGGACGAGGACUGAAGUGAAUGCCAGCGAGGCACAUGUAACCUUAUCGGGUGCAGACGCCAGUGGACGUAGACCCGAGAAGCAGAGAGGCAAGCAUGCAGACGAAGGCAGACAACAACGCUGCAGACGUCUCGUCGGACAAUGAUUGAUCACCCAGAGACUUGGGGUUUUUUCUGGGAAAUCAAGUGUUGUUUGGGUGUUGCUGCAUUGCGGGGUUUCUCACAGAGGGUGGGGACAUGGACAUGGGAUUCAGACGGAUAGUGUUCAUGUGCUUCAUUCUUUCACCUGUUGCCUUGGGCAACAGGACAGAUUUUCCCAUGAGACAACCAAGGGAAAAAGUGUGGGAGACUUUGGCAAAAGCAGCUGGUCUGGACAGCAUUUGCCUGACCCAUUCGAAACCAGAGAAACCAUUUUCAACAUGCUUGGUAGGUGUGCCAGUGAAGGGAUGGUCAGUCCCAGGGGACAUCCUUCCAGGAGUUCUGAAGUUUCUUUCAGACCCUGUGGAGGGAUGACAUGUUUGGACACAAUUCCUUCCUGCUGCUCACUUUGAGCCUCUGGAUUUGGACAUUUUGGGUCAACAAAAAUGAAAUGGUGCAUCAAAUUUAAUUCAUCAGGAGUGGCAAAGACAGAUAAUCAUACAAUAGAUGUCACUCCGAAUCAGCCUUUUUAUAAAAAUGCGUCAUCUUGGUGCAAUCAUACCAAAAUGACAAGCAAACCAUCCUUUCAACAUCCAGCCACUUUACCGAAGGGAAUGUUUUUCAUUUGCGGGGACAGAAUUUGGCCUGCUAUCCCUGCAAAAAUCAAGGGUGGUCCAUGCAGCAUUGAAAGAUCUUUUGUUAACACACAGCAUGACCUUGAUAAGAGAGCAAGGAGAAAAAAAGAAUCUGAUGAAUGAAAUGAUCCAAAUUGUGACAAUGAUAAUGUUAAUACCAAGAAAAAAGGCUCGGAAAAACUGAGUGGAUCUGCUUUCACAGCAGGUGGCAUCAAAAAGAGCCUUGGUGCAGUUGGAUCAAAAGAGGUUGUGGGCAGAGUAAAGAUGCCCAUGUCAUUUCUUCUGCAUCGAAUGAUUUGUUAACUAGCAGUGAGAAAUGGGAACAAAACAGUAAUUGAACAUCUAUUAUAAACACAUAGACACAAGAGUGAUAAAUUUAAAGAGAUAUCAGAGGACCAAACACACCUGGAGAAAAAUUAAAUCAUAGGUAGAUGGUGUGUUCAAUUUGUUUCACCUUUCACAGUUGUAGAAAAGAGAUUUUGAAAAUAGUUGUAUGUAAUUAUAAGGUAUUGUAAUUCUUCUAAUGUUUGUGCUGUCCUUGCCUCAGUGCAUGAGGCAGACCAUGAACAAAACUGUCAAAGAGGUGUUCUUGAUUCAAAAAGGAAAGGAUCCCUUGAAAAAUAUAGUUCAAAUUCUGAUGAUGAUGUUUCUACCUGGGACAAGUCUCGGAGAAUUGCAAUAGCAAUUUUCUCACCCCAGGCAGCAUCAGGGGCGGCCUUGACACAAUUGGAUUGUAUAGCAUAUUGGUUGAGGAAACACAGUCGUGCCAUUUCGUUUGCACUGAGUGACAUGUUAACAGACAUCAACAGUGCAAGGCAAGCAGUGCUUCAAAACAGGGCGGCAAUUGAUCAUUUGCUGCUGACACAUGGGCACGGAUGUGAGGGAUUUGAGGGAAUGUGCUGCAUGAACUUGUCCGAUCAUUCAAAAUCUAUUCAUAAAAAUAUAAAACAAAUACAAAGUAAUAUUAACAAAUUGAACAAAGUUACAGGGUCCUGAUGGGAUGAUUUGUUUAGCUUUUUUGAUAUCUCACCAUUGUGGAAAGAACUUUGAAAAUAGCAUUUUAUAUUCUUAUAGGACUUGUAGUUCUUCUGCUUGUUCUACCAUGCAUUUUCGUGUGUAUUUGAAAGACCUUGAACAGCAUGAUAAAGCGGGUGUUUCUGGUUCAAACAGAGAGGGGAGAUGUCGGAACUCAAAAUGUCCCUCAGACAUUUUUAGAGGUUCCAGGCCUUGGUCAGAAGCAUUUUAGACCCUGGCAAGCAGCUGAAAACAGCUGUGAUCUUGAGUUUGAACCAUGGAAUGAAUUACCAACUUUAAAGGUGGAACAAGCAGUCACAGAGGGUUAGAUGGUAUAGUAAAAGUAGUCACAAAUUAGAGGGUAAAAUUUUUUAGUAUUGUACAGGGGGGUUUUAACACAUGUACAGGGGGGUUUUACUUUGUACAGGGGGGUCAGGAGUUCUAAGAUGGAGGAAAGUGGGCCUGAUCCUGUUCUUCCUCCUUCUUCUUCCUUACCUCCAUGUUCUUGGUGAUGUUGGCAUUUUUCUAUUGGUUUAGGCUAGGGACACACUAUUCAACGUAGAUGAUAGAUAUUGGCACAUUAUUGUAAAUAUAGUACACGUAAUUUCUUGUAUAUAAUGUUUGUACCAUCCCACUGAGGGGCAGAGCCCCACACGCUGCCCUGCAGGACAGACCUGCGGCAGGGCAGCAGAACUUGUUAUAGAUAAGCAAAAAUAAACAACCUUGAAA
This is a long non-coding RNA of Taeniopygia guttata (zebra finch), 4351 nucleotides long. NCBI's taxonomy places the organism in Eukaryota, Metazoa, Chordata, Aves, Passeriformes, Estrildidae. The record is from Ensembl.